UACGUAGGGUGCGAGCGUUAAUCGGAAUUACUGGGCGUAAAGCGUGCGCAGGCGGUUUUGUAAGCCAGAUGUGAAAUCCCCGGGCUUAACCUGGGAAUGGCAUUUGGGACUGCAAGGCUGGAGUGCGGCAGAGGAGACUGGAAUUCCUGGUGUAGCAGUGAAAUGCGUAGAUAUCAGGAGGAAUACCGAUGGCGAAUGCAGGUCUCUGGGCUGACACUGACGCUCAUGCACGAAAGCGUGGGGAGCAAACAGG
RNAcentral lists this ribosomal RNA (253 nucleotides) under uncultured bacterium. RNAcentral describes it as "partial 16S ribosomal RNA". It matches the Rfam family "Bacterial small subunit ribosomal RNA", at positions 524 to 776 of the family's 1533-position model. The record is from RNAcentral.